Long non-coding RNA from Alosa alosa (allis shad), 2698 nucleotides. RefSeq lists it as uncharacterized. Lineage: Eukaryota; Metazoa; Chordata; Actinopteri; Clupeiformes; Clupeidae. The record is from RefSeq and is a predicted model, not a curated record. The transcript is spliced from 2 exons.
GAACGUUAUCGUUACACACUGGAUCGGAAAGUUAUGGUGAUCUGCACUGGUUUCAACCCUCUUUAAGUUAAGCUUCAAGUUGGCUUUUGAAAGCAUCGUUGUUUUAGCCUACUUCAUCAACACCAUGAAAAGUGUACUGGAACUUGUGGUCUGCGUGAUUUGUUGAACUAGAAGACCAUGGAAAAAUGGCGGAGAUAUUCCCAAGUCACUUCUGAUUGUGCUGAGAGCUCAACAGUGCCAAACUUUGACAAAUUGACAUUCGCCAGUUGGCCUCAUUCAAUUCCAUUGCUGUCUGCCUAAUAAUGUCAGUGGUAAGUACAGUACCACGACGGGAGUGGUAAGUACAGUAAGUACGACGUUGUUUAAUUAGAUUGGUUAUCAAUGGGAUUUUAAGUUUAUAAUGAUAUUUGCCGAAGCGUUACCUAACGUUAGCGAGACAGCUCACUGACAUUAGUGUUAACGUUAAACAUGCUAUGAGCUAGGACACCAACGUGAUUUUGAUCAAAUACGUUUCAUUCAGCAUGGUAACUAUAUUCAGAUGUGGUGGUUAUCAACGAGUUUGCUAUUACUGUUAUGCAGAUGAACAGUGGAGUAAAUUAAUGUGCUACAUUUGCUUUGAACCUGAUAUAGCUAGAUAGGAGUUUUUGCUCCAACUGCUUUCAGAUAAUUUAUUUCCCUGUAAAUUUGCACUUCUAAAGUCUCACCAGUGCAGGUUUGUGUUCUUGAAUUAAUGUUGAUGGAAUAAUUUGUAUUGCUGUAUCUGCCAAAUAAUUUCUUAAAUGCAUAUGAGCUUUGCAGAUGCCGAGAGAGGCUGAAGUGACAAGAGGACAUUGCCUAUCAUUAGGUCAGUAAUCUUUAUAAGAAGGAUAAAAUGUCCUUUUUACCUUUUGUGGAUAUAUGUCCUUUUUACCUUGUAUGGUUCUGUAGCACCAGUGCUAACAACAAAAGAGUUAACGUACAGCCCUGCCACCCAUUACAAAAUGGGGUAUAUUCAAAUGAUAAUGGCAUGGUAAAUCUGCGGCUGUUAUUGAAUCAUUACGUAGCAAGCAAAGCCCCAUUUCAGGCAGGGAGCUACAGUGAUAUUCCAGGGACUUUGUCCUUAACAGGAUGUGCCAUUGACAGUCACAGAGGGGAACUCACAGGUUUGCUAACACCUACCUCAUUAGUAUUAUAAAUGUUACGCUGAAGUUCUAAUUGUUAGUAGUGAAACCACCUAACAUUUUUCAAUAUUUCCAUCACCAUGUGUAGCUAACACCCAUGGCUAUGAUAUUCAGAGCUCACAUCAGACUUAAUUUGGUGAUAAUUUCAUCAAGACAUUGAGAAAACACCACAUGUACAGCAGAUACCUCACCGGGUUGAUGGAUGGUUAUUGGAGUGAUGUAGUGGUGGUUGGCAUGAAGAUUAGGCUGCUGGGGGCUCCCUGAAGCUGGAACGGACAGGCCAAGUACAUCUUCCCUGCCUCACUGCUUUGAAACUUGCUCCCAAGGUGCCAAUCGUCCGUUCUCUUUUCCUUCCUUGGUGCCUUAUUUGAUUUUGCUUCUAAUGUAUGUGCUGAAAAUUUCUUUUUUAGGUCAUAGCAUGAAAGAAGUGUGUCGUCAUUGCCAUUUCCUGUUACAGCAUGCUGGCAUUACUCACAAAGUCAAUUGCUGUUGACCCUCUUAACAAUGUAUCCAAUCUUCAGGCCACGAAAAAGAUGGAAGGUGUCCCAGUACAAGUUUAUGGCUUUCUCUAACUCAUUCUCUUUCAAUCUGCUUAGGGCAAGGUCGAACCGGUGGUCUACUUCCUCAAGGAACCAUGAUGUUUUCAGGGAGGACUGUGGCCGUUUCUCCUCCUCAACCAGGUUUUUCAGGAGAGCACUGGUCACUCUACUAAAGACGUGCAUGGCAGGUUGGACACUGAAAUGGGAGUGGGUUGGCGGUCAUGAAGGAUAAAUGGGUAUGUACGGUUGUUCCUGUGUUAAUGGCCGUUUGCAUCAGGAACGAUAACUAUAAUGAUAAGUGUCCUCACUGAUCAAUUAAGAAAAGUCUCUCCUUGAAUAUGAUAGCUAAAAUUUGAUGGAUUUUGGUUGGCUGUCAGCUUUGUAUUGUUCUCAACAUCGUUUGGAAAGUGAUCCCCAACAACAUCUUUCUUCAUGUUAUCGUUACAGUUUAUGUGUGGAUGUAAGGUGGUCGGCCGUGUGUGGUGGGUCUUGCUGGAGAUGGCCUCUUGCUUUGGUUUAUGGUUAUGACUUAAUGUGGCAGCUGUAAAUGUGUUGUUCCAGGUAUAAACUGAAUGUUACCCGCUCUGUUCUCCCUCCAUUCUCCACUGUGCCUGUUCUGCUUACCUAGGACCAAGGAUGCUGAGGACGAGAAAGGUGUGCGGUAGGAUGAACAGCCUUCAGCUUCAACAUCACCCCUAACACUCCUGGCUCCAUCAAACGUGCUGCAUCCUCCUUAGCUUGUCCCUUUUAUAGGUGUGCAGAGUUUAUAGACAGCUACCCAUCCUUUCCACAUUGUGCAUUUUCUGUUGUUCACACACACACUUCAGACAUUAGGAACUGAAAUCUUUUUUGAAAAUAUAAAUGAGUGUCAAACCUCCUUUCUAUGUUGCAGUCCCACCACACCUCCCUUCUGGUAUUUUUGUUGGUUUUCCCCCUAGUUUUUUUGUUAACACACACUUGUUUCACACAUUGAAAAAUGAAUAAAAUAUCUAAAAUGUA